Molecule: long non-coding RNA, 1444 nt
Organism: Podarcis raffonei (Aeolian wall lizard)
Lineage: Eukaryota; Metazoa; Chordata; Lepidosauria; Squamata; Lacertidae
Exons: 2
Source: RefSeq, a predicted model, not a curated record
GAAGGGUCCACUAGGUGGGUGAAGUCAGUCCCAGGUCUGAGGACAUUUCACCAAGUACCACCUGCAGUUUUGUGGCUCACCACACGAGGCAGCUGUUUACAUAUCUCAGACAAGUUACUAGAUAGGACUUUCUUUUCUUUUUUUUGUUUAGGGAGGGAGACAGCCAAAUGGAAAAGUGAUAAAGGUUUCUAAAAUUGUGCACAGUCUGUGGAGAAGUGGAUAGAUAGAAACACUUCUCCCUCUCUCGGAAUAUUAGAAAUUGGAAUUACCCGUGAGAUUCACUGACAGUAGCUUCUUUGGUGGCAAAAUACUCUUCACUUUGAGUAUUCAUUGUGUAGGAUUCUUUGCCACUGAGUGCCACUGGGUCAAGAGCUUAGAUAGCUGUUACAGGAGAUUAGAGCAAAACCCUGCUCAUAGGGAGGUCAACAGCCCUCUCCUGCUAUUGUUCCCCUGCAAAAACACUCAGAAGCAAAUGGCUGAACUAGAAUUUAUUUUAAAAAUUACUAGAAUUUAUUCUCUGCCAUCCCAGCUCUCUAAAUUAGCAUAGCAAAGCCAGGAAGAUUGUGAUCACAACUAAUACUUCUGCUAUGGUGGGUCGUCACCGUUCUUAUCUUUUAUGCACUUGAGCUUUGGUUAAAAAGGCCACAGACAACCGCUCUCUCCAUUGCAUGGCCUUCUGACCCUACUGUUUACAUUUUUUAUCCUUCAAUGUGCGCAUGAGUGCUAGACGAUAACACAUCAUGAGUCUGACAAAGCCAACAGAAGAUUAUGCCACAACACAUGGUUAGUCAUAAAGGUGCUGCCUAUGAGAUUCUUUUUUGAUGCGACAACAACCUUGCAGCAUUGCAUGCCACUAUGACGUACUGGUGGACAAGCCUACAGGAUCAGUCUCCAGAAGAAGAAGAAGAAGAAGAAAAUUGCUGAUGGGUCUGUUUACUUGAAUACUGGGAUGGAUGCAGUCCCAGGAGGCACCAAAAUAAUGCUGCAAAUGGAGCAGAGCUUGUGUAGCUGAUACCUUGGAGGCCUGUUGUAAUAAAUGCCCAGCUCUCUUGGGAAUCAGGGAAGACAAAGCAGCAUGCAGCAUAGGCAUCUGUGUGUGAAUUUUCUCAGUGUACCUAGAGUCCACUGCAGUCAUGUGAGCUUUGUUCGCUGGCCCUUUUCUCUUUUCAGUUGUCAAUAUUAGCACCAGAAGUGACUUCUGACUUCAUGGGAACCAGGAGGGGGAGAGGGGUGAGUCAUUGCUCUUUUAAGCCACAUAAGCGCUCUCUCAUGGCAUGGCUUUUAAAAGCAACACAAAGAAUUGGAUCUAUAUGGGUUCAUCCCAGCCAGAUGCUGAAUUCCUUAUGGGAGAAGCUGACCGUGCUCCAUUCCCACACAAAUCAAUGAAUGAGCCUCACCAUGGGAUGCAGAAUCAGAGCUCUCCCCUGCCCAACACACACACACA